AAUAGGCAAAUUGCUCUCUUCUUCCCGAUCUUCACCAAGGUCCUCUCUCUCUCUCACUGUUCUCUACAACCAAAAUUACCCCAAGUUGGGUUCCUCUUCUGCGGCGCCAUCACCGUCGCUCAGCCCUCGGCGGUGCUCGCCCUCAUAGCUUCUUCUUCAGGUUACUCUCACUUCUUCUUCUCUUAAAUGGGACGAUCUGGGUUUCAAGGUGAAGGGAGAGAUCCAGGUCAGGGACGGAGGCGAAGCAGGUCGAUACUGAGUCGACUCAAUCGUUGACGGUGGGAUGAUCUGGGUUCCGAGGCGGAGAGAGAGAUUGAGAUCUGGGACGGAGGCGAAGCAGGUCGGGUUCCGGUGGAGGUCACGAGUCCCAAAGCAUGAGGUUUUUGAUUUGUAUUGGCUUUUGAUGAAUUGAGCAAGGAGUGUAGUGGGUUUGCUAGCAAUGAAAAGAAGAAAAUCAAGAAACCCAAAAAAUUGAAAUCUUGAAAUUGAAGAACUGAAGAAGAAGCUCAGAAUGGCGCAUCAAAUGUGCCGCGACUGCCCCCAGCGCCGGAUUGAGUCGGAGUUCUCCGGCAAACUCGUCUUCAUCCACGGACUUUCCGAUUCCGCUUUUUCAUUUGGCCCAAUUGUCAUCGUUCAUGUCCAAGUUCAAUUCUCUACCCCUCUCUCUUUCAUCCCUGUGCGUUAAGUACCUGCAAAAGUUCAUGGCUUUUUGAUUUUGUUGAGAAAGGUGAAUACUCAAAUUACUUGGGUUUUUGCAGUUGUCAAGUUCAAGUGGAAAAGCUGCUUUAUCUUCUCAAUUCUUGCUCAAGUAUCUACCUAGUCAUCACCAUGAUUGCUUCACAAAAUUUGUGUAGUGAUUUGGCUCAAUUUGAUUCUGGAAAUGUAUUAGCUUUUGAUUUGUGUGGUGGAAUAGCUCUAGUGUUUGAUUAACUGAA
This is a long non-coding RNA of Rosa chinensis, 935 nucleotides long. RefSeq lists it as uncharacterized. The record is from RefSeq and is a predicted model, not a curated record. The transcript has 2 exons. NCBI's taxonomy places the organism in Eukaryota, Viridiplantae, Streptophyta, Magnoliopsida, Rosales, Rosaceae.